RNA transcript from Zophobas morio, 1417 nucleotides. It is a transcript of the gene named isocitrate dehydrogenase [NAD] subunit beta, mitochondrial-like, with no coding region annotated. The record is from RefSeq and is a predicted model, not a curated record. The transcript has 4 exons. NCBI's taxonomy places the organism in Eukaryota, Metazoa, Arthropoda, Insecta, Coleoptera, Tenebrionidae.
ACCACUUUGACAAAUGUCAUUUCUAAUCCAUAACUUUUCCAAAUUUCCAGUAGUAAAAAACCUUUUUUCAAAAUCUGGUAAAUAUGGGUCCUAUUCAACUACCACAUCGCACAACAUUCCAGAUAUCAUCAAAUGCACUCUUAUUCCUGGUGACGGCGUAGGUCCUGAGCUUAUUCUCUCCGUGCAGGAAGUUUUCAACGCUGCUAAAGUCCCUAUCACAUUUGAACCUCUCUUUUUCUCCGAAGUGAACCCUUCUUUGAGCACCCCACUGGAAACAGUCGCCGAAUCGAUUCGCAAAAAUGGCGUUUGUCUUAAAGGAAUAACUGCAUAUCCUGACUAUAGCCGCACCGGCGAACUCCAGAACCUCAACAUGAAACUGCGACAAACUCUAGACUUCUAUGCUAACGUCGUCCACGUGCAGUCUCUUCCGGGAGUAAAAACAAGACACAACAAUCUAGAUCUGGUAGUCAUAAGAGAACAAACAGAGGGCGAAUAUUCCGCCUUGGAGCACGAAAGUGUCAAAGGUAUGGUAGAGUGUUUGAAGAUCGUGACAGCGAAGAAAUCACGAAGAAUUGCGAAGUUUGCAUUCGACUAUGCGACGAAGAAUAAGAGGAAGAAAGUGACUUGUGUUCACAAAGCCAAUAUUAUGAAGCUAGGGGAUGGUUUGUUCUUGAAGUGUUGUGAAGAAAUGUCUCUUCUCUACCCCAGACUGGAGUUCAAGUCCAUGAUUAUCGAUAACUGUACCAUGCAACUGAUCACAAAGCCGGAACAAUUUGAUGUGAUAGUUGUGCCCAAUUUGUAUGGGAGCAUUCUUGAUAAUUUAUGCUCGGGAUUGGUUGGAGGCGCAGGAGUGGUGGCUGGAGCUUCGUACUCAGCAAAGAGUGCCGUGUUUGAACCGGGUGCCCGUCAUACUUAUUCGGAAGCUGUUGGCAAGAAUGUAGCUAAUCCCACUGCGAUGCUUCUGUGCUCUGUACUCCUUCUGCGUCACGUCAAUCUUACUUUUUACAGUGAGAUGAUUAGUAAUGCUGUGAGAAAUGUUUUGAAAGAGGGAAAAAUACGAACUAAAGACAUUGGGGGCCAUUCGAGCACUCAUGAUUUCACAGGCGCUGUUAUUAAUAAAUUACAACUUACACCACCGAAGACCAAAGGUUGAGAGACUUCGAUUUUUUUCUACUUUGAAGACAAAUAUACGACAAUAUUAAGCGAAAAGAAUACGAAUACUGAACGUCGGUCACAAACAAACGUGUAUUUGUAAAACACAAUAAAAUUUAGUGACAUUGUAUUCAACAGUUGGUAACACAUCUUUAACUGAUCAUGAUUAUUACACAGGAUUUUUGAGGCAUCCUAUGUAAGAAUUAAAAGAAAACAUGGAUUGAGGCACCAAUAAAGGAGCAAAUUAUACUGUACAUAUUGAAGU